This 538-nucleotide ribosomal RNA is filed under the name uncultured Geobacteraceae bacterium. Its description in RNAcentral is "bacterial SSU rRNA". It matches the Rfam family "Bacterial small subunit ribosomal RNA", at positions 1 to 526 of the family's 1533-position model. Lineage: Bacteria; Pseudomonadati; Thermodesulfobacteriota; Desulfuromonadia; Geobacterales; Geobacteraceae. The record is from RNAcentral.
UUAGAGUUUGAUCCUGGCUCAGAACGAACGCUGGCGGUAUGCUUAACACAUGCAAGUCGAACGUGAAAGUGGACUUCGGUCCGCGAGUAAAGUGGCGCACGGGUGAGUAACACGUGGAUAAUCUACCCGAUGAUCUGGAAUAACACUUCGAAAGGGGUGCUAAUACCGGAUGAGCUCACGACGUCUUCGGACGACGUGGGAAAAGGGGGCUUCGGCUCCUGUCAUCGGAUGAGUCCGCGGCCCAUUAGCUAGUUGGUAGGGUAAAGGCCUACCAAGGCUACGAUGGUUAGCUGGUCUGAGAGGAUGAUCAGCCACACUGGAACUGAGACACGGUCCAGACUCCUACGGGAGGCAGCAGUGGGGAAUUUUGCGCAAUGGGCGAAGGCCUGACGCAGCAACGCCGCGUGAGUGAUGAAGGCUUUCGGGUCGUAAAGCUCUGUCGAGGGGAAAGAAGCGUAUUAGGGCUAAUAUCCCUGAUACUUGACGGUACCCCUAAAGGAAGCACCGGCUAACUCCGUGCCAGCAGCCGCGGUAAUAC